UUUAAACUCACUUCCCGUUGUUUACGGGUCACUUCCUAUUUGUUUAUCGGGUAUGUACACGUCACUUCCUAUUGAUUUGGGGGCAUUUACGGGUCAUCGGUGUUCAUUAUGGGGCAUUAACGGGUCACUUCCUGUUGAUUUUACGGUCACUUCCUUUUCAUUUUAAGGCAUUUACAAGUACGUCACUCCCUGGUUAUUUUACGGUCACUUCCUGUUGAUUCAGGUGCAUUGACGCGUCAUCGGUGUUGAUUUUGGGGCAUUUACGUGUCACUUCUUGUUGAUUUUACAGUCACUUCCUGUUCAUUUUUGGGCAUUUACAAGUGACUUCCUAUUCAUUUUUUUGGCAUUUACGCGUUACUUCAUGUUGAUUUUGGGGCAUUAAUGGGUCACUUCCUGUUUAUUUUACGGUCACUUCCCGUUCAUUUUCAGGCAUGUGCCUGUCACUUUCUAUUGGUUUUUGGGUCACUUCCUGUUGAUUUUACGGUCACUUCCUGUUCACUUCCGAGCAUUUACAAGUCACUUCCUGUUGAUUUUUGGGCAUUUACGGGUCACUUCCUGUUGAUUUUUGGGUCACUUCCUGUUGAUUUCCGAGCAUUUACAAGUCACUUCCUGUUGAUUUUGGGGCAUUUACGGGUCACUUCUUGUUAAUUUUUGGGUCACUUCCUGUUGAUUUUACAGUCACUUCCCAUUUUUUUCCGGGGCAUAUACGUGUCACUUCCUAUUGAAAAUGGGGCAUUUACGGGUCACUUCCUGUUGAUUUUGGGUCUGUUAUGGGUCACUUCCUGUUGAUUUUACGUUCACUUCCUGUCCAUUUUCAGGCUUUUACAAGUCACUUCUUAUUUAUUUUCUGGGGCAUGUAUGCGUCACUUCCUGUUGAUAUUGGGACAUUUACAGGGUCACUUCCUCUUGAUCUUUGGGUCACUUCCUGUUCAUUUUACCGCCACUUCCUGUUCAUUCUUGGGCUUUUACAAGUCACUUCCUGUUUAUUGUUUUGGGAAUGUACGCGUCACUUCCUGUUGAUUUAACAGACACUUCCUGUUAAUUUCUGGGCAUUUGCAAAUCACUUCCUUUUGAUUUGUUGGAAUCAUAUAAGGGUCUGUUGAUUUUGGGUCUGUUAUGAGUCACUUCCUGUUGAUUUUGGGGCACUCACUGGUCACUUCCCGUUGAAUUAGGGGCAUUUAUGGCUAGCUUGUUGAUUUUGAGUCACUUUCUGUUGAUUUUGGACAUUUACGGGUCAUUUCCUAUUGAUCUUUGGGUCACUUCCUGUUCAUUUUACAGUCACUUCCUGUUCAUUCUUGGGCUUUUACAAGUCACUUCCUUUUUAUUGUUUUGGGGGAUGUACGCGUCACUUCCUGUUGAUUUUGGGGCAUUUACAGGGUCACUUCCUGUUGAUUUUACGAUCACUUCCUGUUUAUUUCUGGGCAUUUGCAAAUCACUUCCUGUUGAUUUGUUUAAAGCAUUUAUGGGUCACUUCCUGUUGAUUUUACAGUCACUUACUGUCCAUUUUCGGGCUUUUACGAGUCACUUCCUAUUUAUUUUUUGGGGCAUGUACGGGUCACUUCCUGUUGAUCUUUGGGUCACUUCCUGUUCAUUCUCGGGCUUUUACAAGUCACUUCCUUUUUAUUGUUUUGGGGGAUGUACGCGUCACUUCCUGUUGAUUUUGGGGCAUUUACAGGGUCACUUCGUGUUGAUCUUUGGGUCACUUCCUGUUUAUUUCAUGUUUAUUUCAUAUAUUUAAGCAAUUACGGGUCACUUCCCGUUGAAUUAGGGGCAUUUAUGGCUAGCUUGUUGAUUUUGAGUCACUUUCUGUUGAUUUUGGGGCAUUUACGGGUCAUUUCCUGUUGAUCUUUGGGUCACUUCCUGUUUAUUUCAUGUUUAUUUCAUAUAUUUAAGCAAUUACGGGUCACUUCCCGUUGAAUUAGGGGCAUUUAUGGCUAGCUUGUUGAUUUUGAGUCACUUUCUGUUGAUUUUGGGGCAUUUACGGGGUCACUUCCUGUUGAUCUUUGGGUCACUUCCUGUUUAUUUCAUAUAUUUAAGCAUUUACGGGUCACUUCCUGUUGAUUUUGGGGCAUUUACGGGUCAUUUCCUGUUAAUUAUGUGGAAUUUCAUGCCAUUUUCUGUUGAUCUUGUGGCACUUCUGGGUUAACUCUGGGGCAUUUAUGGGUAACUUGUUGAUUUUAUGUCACUUGGUUUUGUGCAGCGUGUUGAAAAAGUGGACCAAAACAAUUCCCAAUACUAUAGUACGUGGCGAGCUUUGCAUCCUUUUUUGGCUUACUUGAAAGGAGGGAGGCUUUUAUUGAACACUCGGCCCCUUUCACCUUCUUCUUCUUCUUCUUCUCCUCUCAUCACUCACUCUCUUCCUCUUUUGAUUUGCAUCGGCCUCCCGUGUUUGAAAGCGCCGACCCCCCCGGCCUCCCCUCCCUCGGGCUGUUUUUGCUACCUCGCCCCCCCCCCCCCACCCCCCAUCCUCGUUAUCUCUGCUGACUUGACAAAGGACAAGGUCGCUGAGGAGUUUCCAUUUGAUGUGUUUGUUCACCUAGGGGACGAGUUGGCUCAUGUUUACAAGGCUGUCACCAGUUGUCUAACUGUCGCCGAUUUAUCGGUCGUUGCGUGAAUCCACGUAUUUUGAUAGCCGAUCAAAUUCAUUUGCACCAGGAGGGGGAUUCAGUCCUCCCAGUCCGAAUAAAUUGGACGUACAGUGGUAUGAAAAAGUAUCUGAACCUUAUGGAAUUUCUUACGUUUCUGCAUAAAAUCACCAUCAAAUGUGAUCUGAUCUUUGUCAAAAUCACACAGAUGUAAAAACAGUGUCUGCUUCAACUGAAACCACCCAAACAUUUAUAGGUUUUUAUUAAAGAUAUCCCGAUCGAUCCGAUCACGUCAUUUUCAAAGUAUCGGAAUCGGCAAAAAAAUAUCGUACAUGCCUUUUUUUAAUAUAUAUAUAUUUUUUAAUUAAAUUGUUUCUAAUUGUGUUUAACGUUACAGACAAAAUGUCUUCCAUUCAUCCAGAGUCUUUAGUUUUGGCUUAAAGUAGGGCUAUCAAAUUUAUCGCGUAAACGGGGGUAAUUAAUUAUUUUUAAAUUAAUCAUGUUAAAUUAUUUAACGCAAUUAGGGCAUGCGCUGCACGACCCACUCACGCAUUGUCGCGUUCCAUCUAUUAAGGCGCCGUUUUACCUAUAUAUAGAGCUAACAGACAGCGUAAAAAGUGUAGAGAGAAUUUUGGCAGUCUUUGGAGCCUCUUUUUAAUUGGCCAAAGCCUUAAAAUCCCUCUCUCAACAAUUAGAAAUAUCGUGGGAAGCAAUGUGGGGAAGAACGGUAGUGGUUGAUCUUUUCCUUAACACCCUAUGUUACUUCCCAACGCAGAGAAGAUAUAUCAAUUGGUGCCACUACGCACAGUCAUGGUUGCACUUCCCAUCAUGCAUUUGGGCAGAACAGUUAAAUGGCUACAGUAUCAUUUACUGAAAGCUCAACAAAUACACUAGAUGGCAAUAUUUAGUCACAAUAUACAAAGUCACAUUUGUCCUUUAAGAAUUACAAGUCUUUCUAUCCGUGGAUCCCUCUCACAGAAACAAUGUUAAUAAUGUAAAUGCCAUCUUGAGGGUUUAUUGUCAUAAUAAACAAAUACAGUACUCAUGUACAGUAUGUUGAAUGUAUAUAUUCGUCCGAGUUUUAUUCGUUUUUUUCUUAAUGCUUUGCCAAAAUGGAUUGGAUUAGAAUUGAAUCGGGAGCACACAAAAAAAAAGCAAUCGGAUCGGGAAAUAUCGGGAUCGGCAGAUACUCAAACUAAAACGAUCGGGAUCGGAUCGGGAGCAAAAAAACAUGAUCGGAACAACCCUGGUUUUUAUAUUUUAACGAGGAUAGCAUGCAAACAAUGACAGAAGGGGGGAAAAAUAAGUAAGUGAACCCUCUGCUUAAGGAGACUUAGGGGCAGUUUAAAUGGCGACUCUGAGACACAAAGGCACAAUGACUGAGUAGAGGAAUGGCCUCGCGUGCAUAUGGUAUCAGCGAAGACAAAAAAUUCAGAAUCCUGCCUCCAAAGUGGAAGAAUUCCAUUGCGGGGGAUUGAGGGCUUGCUCCGAAUGCAUAUCAAAGGCUCCCACGGCGCCAGACCGCGCCGAUAACGUCAGCACUUGUACACGUCACAUUGGGCGUGCGCAGCGAUGCUACUAAACAUUAAAAACAGCAAAUAUGGCGGAAUGUCUGCUUUAACUUACUGUUUUAAUCAUAUUUUUAAAUCAAAUACGUUAAAUGUUUCAAUUUUUGUGCCUUUUUGAACAAAAGAGAAAUGCCAUUGCUUCGAGUGUGCGGGCAUAUUUUUUUCCGGGUUGGUGGGGUCAAAGUGCAUCAUUUGCUGUCGCCUUGUAAAUCUGCACUGCUCCCUAGGGCUUGGCAUGAAUACUACAUCGUUUUCAUGUGGAAUUGCGACAGCGUUCGAAUGGAGACGGGCCCAUAUAAAUGCAAAUUUGAAAUUUUUCAUAUUCUCGGAGAGUCACCUUGUAAACUUAAAGAGCAAUUGAAACCCGUUUUUACCAAACCAUUUUAGUCAGUUGUGUGCCCAAUCACUGAUGAGUGGUUUAAAGCUGCCCUGCCCACUAUAAACCACACACCUGGUCAGAAUUCAGAAUUGUCUUGUUGAGAAGCAUUGUCUGAUGUGGUAAUGGUGUUAUACUUGUACAGCAAUUUUCCACCUUUCGAGGCGCUCAAAGCGCUUUACACUACAUCGCCAUCCACCUACUGGUAUCUUGCUCAAGGAUACUUAGGUGAGUUCAUCAGGGCCGGGAAUCGAAGCCACAACCUCUGGGUUGGGGGACAACUACCGUAAUUUUCGGACUAUAAGCCGCUACUUUUCCCCUUCAUUUUGGUACCUGUGCGGCUUAUUUGUUGAUUUUGUCAUAAGACUGUCAUAAGAUCAUCAAAAUUAUGACAUGACACUAAUAUGGACAUUACUGAAUGCUUGUGUCCUUAAGUGUCAUUUGGCAAAUUAUGUCACUAACUCAAUUUUUGUCCAUCGUGGAUCUUUUGCAUCCAUUCAUAAGUGAGAUCAUUUGCCGGAUAACACUUAAUGACAUCUGUUAUAAGCAUUCAUGAAUGCUCAGGACCAGGGGUCGCGUUAACCGGAUAUUUUCCGUCGUUGACCGGUUUUUUAAAACGGUGACGGAAAAAACUGAAGUCCGUCCGUCAUUUUGACAGGUUGCAAUUCACACCCCAGACCACAGGGUGGCGAGUUAGCAUAUUAAUUAGCUAUUGUCGCUCUCAAUGCAUGACGUCGUUGGCUUUUCUGUCAGAGUAUUGUAGCGUCACCGGGGUCUGGCGGCGGCACCGUGAUUGACACAUCAACGCGAGGUUCUUAUUGGUGCACCCGGUGUGCCAGCACGUCAUCCAAUUGAUGGACAAGAUUGCCGCCUGUGUAUAGACCCCAAUCACAUGACGUCACAACUCCGCCCCCCUGACUGGAGCCGCCAUAUUGUGUGUCAGCUCGUCAUGUUUACACAUUACCGCUACGUACAUGCCUCCUAUUACGGCGUGUUUUUCUGCUCGUUAAUAUUAAUAAUCAAAAUGGUGAAGGGGUGUGUGGCGGUUGGUUGCUGCAACAGAGAAGAUAGACGGAGAGACUUGAAGUUCUACCGUAUUCUGAGAGACCCGAAGAUGAGAGCGAGAUGGACUGCUGUAAUUCGACAAGAAAUCUGGGCACCAAACGAUCACCACAGACUAUGUAGUAGUCAUUUUAUAUCUGGUAAGAUGCAUUUAAUAUAUAUUUAGAAGAUUUUGGGCUGACAACCACAAUUAAGAUCAUUGUGUGAUGUUGGUGAUUGGGGUCUAUAUAGUUGCCUCUUUUUCUUUGGGGGCGGAGUUGUUGUUGUUGGCGGUAAGCAGAGUAAAAAGAGGGAGAAAAAUACCACGACUUCCGUGUCAAAUUUUUCGCCGCCAAGCAAGCGUUACAAUAUUAAUUAAAAAUGAAUGAAAACUAAAUACUAUUGAAUAUGUCAUCAUUAUCAUUUUAAAAAUUUAAGUGACGGGUAAAAAUAGGCUAUGACCGGAUUUUUAUGACCCUGUCAGUCAAAAUGACAGACAACGAAAAUGUCUAGCGCAACCUCUGCUCAGGACAGACAUGUCACAAUUAUGAUUGUGUAAUGACAGUCUUACGGCACCACUGUCAAAUAAAGUGUUAGCAAAUACCAUAACUAGCAAUUGAUGAAACGAUUAGAACAGUAACUGAAGAAACAUUUAGCACAGAACAUGAUUUUUGAUUGUUAUUUACAUCUGUAGCGCGACAAUGCAUGCUAAGAGGCAUGUUGGAUGACAACAGUCAACAGCAGGUGGCAGCAGAGGUUGACUGUCUCCCCCAAGGGAGCAGUGAUGGCCAAAUUAAGCUUCUUGAAGCUAUAAAGCUUUGCACUAAUUAGUUCAAAGUUUAAUGAUGGUUCAUUUGGUCUUAUGAUGCCGCUGUCAAAUAAGGUUGUACCGGUUAAUAUCUUUUGGUGUAAAUAUCCCAUGAUACAGUGAGGACAGCCGCGGUGUAUAGUCAGGUGCGCCUUAUAGGGCGAAGAUUAGGGUAUUCUACCACUGAGCCACGCCAUUCCAAUGUGCAUCAUCGCUCGGUCAAAAGAACCGUCUGAAGACCUCAAGUCUUGUUGAUUUGUAUCAAGUUGGAAAAGGAUACAAAACCAUCUCUAAAAGUCUGGAUGUUCAUCGAACGACAGUCAGAGAAGUUGUCUACAAAUGGAGAGAGUUUGGCACUGAUGCUUCUCACCCAAGGAGUUGAUGCCGAGAGUUCGGCGCAGAAUACUCAGAGAGGUAAAAAAAGAACCCUGGAGUAUCUGCUAAAAACCUACACAAAUCCCUGGCACUGUUGCUUCUCUCCCAAGGAGUUGACGCCGAGAGUUCAGCGCAGAAUACUCAGGUAAAAAAUAAAUGGUUUCAGAGGAACAAAAUACACGUUGUGGAGUAGCCAAGUCAAAGUCCAGACUUGAACCCCAUUGAGAUGCUGUGGUAUGACCUAAAAAUGGCGAUUCAUCCCAGGAACCUGACUGAACUACAGCAGUUAUGUAGAGAAGAAUGGGCCUGAUCGAUGUGCCAGACUGAUCUGCAGCUACAGGAAGCGUCUGGUUGAAGUUAUAAGGGGUGGCCACAAAAUAUGAAAUGUGAUGGUUCGGACUUAUUUUUUCCCCCUUCUGUCAUGGUUUGCAUGCUAUCCUCAUUAAAAUAUGAAAAACUAUAAAUGUUUGGGUGGUUUUAGUGAAAGCAGUUUUUACAUCUGUGUGAUUUUGACAAAGAUCAGAUCACAUUUGAUGGUGAUUUUAUGCAGAAAUGUGAGAAAUUCCAAAAGGUUCAGAUACUUUUUCAUACCACUGCAUUGCGCCGUCAAAUAUGAAAGAUGAAAGCUCGCAGCCAGUUCGCCGAGUUGAAGUGAAUUGAAUGUCUAUUGGCGUCAAUGGCAGGCGAUGAGUCACUUCCUUGUUCAUUUUACAGUACAGGGUCACUUCCUGUUGAUUUUGGGGCAUUCCUUUAUCACUUCUGUUAGAUUUUGGGUCAUUCCAUGUAAUUUGGCGGUCAAUUCCUUUUCAUUUUGGUUCAUUUACGUCUCACUUCCAAUUGAUUUUAGGGCAUUUACAGGUCAGCUGUUGAUUUUGUGGCAUUCCGUGGUCACUUCCUGUUGAUUUUGGGUCACUUCCUGAACAUUUUGAAGGAACUCCUAUUGAUUUUGGGGCAUUCCGUGGUCACUUCCUGAUGAUUUUGAGUCACUUCCUGUAUCUUUUGGGUCCAUCAGAGGUCGUUUUCACGAUUUUCUAUUAAUUUCGGGGCAUUUUUUGGCUCACUUCCGGUUGAUUUUGGGUCAUUUAUUGUACGUUGUCAUCAUUUCCUAAUCCAUUUUGAGGCAGUUCCGGGUCACUUGUGUUCGUUUUUGAGUCACUUCGUUUUAUGGUCACUUCCUAUUGAUUUUGGGUCACUUCCUAUUUGUUUUGGGGCACCCCGUGGUCACAUUUUGGAUCAAUUCCUGUUGAUUUGAUGGUAUUUCUGGGUCACUUCCAUAAGCGGAUUUUAAGGGGGGGGGGCGAAAAGUGUCAUUGCAUUAAUGAGUUAUAAGCAAAAAAAACUGCAACAAAAAUGAAUGAAAUGAACAAAAAAUAUAGUUUUAUAAUGGGUCAAAAUUAUUUUUCGAACAGGUCAUGUGACUAGCAACUUAGACGGGGAAAAAAAAAAUAUAGUUUUAUAAUGGAUCAAAAUUAUUUUUCGAACAGGUCAUGUGACUAGCAAUUUAGACGUAAAAAAAAAUAAAUAUAUAUAUAUAUAUAUAUAUAUAGUUUUAUAAUGGGUCAAAAAAAAUUUUUGAACAGGUCAUGUGACUAGCAACUUAGAAGGGGGGGGGGGGGAAAUCUUUUUUUUUUUUCCUUUGAUUGAAAAUAUAUAUAUAUUUUUUUUUAUUUAAGCAACUUUUUUUGGGAUUAAAUGAUUUAGACACAAAUGUCCUACCCAUAAUAUGGCCCAAACACAAAAAGGAUUACUUCAAUCAAAGAAAACUUUUUCGAUGAAAAAUUAAGUGUUCAAAGGCAAAUUUUUCAAUCGCAAAUAUUUUUUCGCAUUCAAAAACUUUUACCAUCAUUGAAUUUUUUCUUUUUGUCACUGAAGUGAUUUUUCUUUUUGAAAAUAUAUAUAUUUUUUGAAGCAACUUAUUUUUUGAUUGAAUAAUGACAAAAAAUGUCCUAGCAAAAAUGUGGCCCAAACACAAAUCAACAUUACUUCAAUUAAUCAAAAAAAAAAAAAAAUUUUAA
Molecule: long non-coding RNA, 8768 nt
Organism: Corythoichthys intestinalis (scribbled pipefish)
Lineage: Eukaryota; Metazoa; Chordata; Actinopteri; Syngnathiformes; Syngnathidae
Exons: 2
Source: RefSeq, a predicted model, not a curated record